This 504-nucleotide ribosomal RNA is filed under the name uncultured bacterium. RNAcentral's name for it is "bacterial SSU rRNA". It matches the Rfam family "Bacterial small subunit ribosomal RNA", at positions 341 to 842 of the family's 1533-position model. The record is from RNAcentral.
ACGGGAGGCAGCAGUGAGGAAUAUUGGUCAAUGGACGCAAGUCUGAACCAGCCAUGCCGCGUGCAGGAAGACGGCUCUAUGAGUUGUAAACUGCUUUUGUACGAGAGUAAACGCUCUUACGUGUAAGAGCCUGAAAGUAUCGUACGAAUAAGGAUCGGCUAACUCCGUGCCAGCAGCCGCGGUAAUACGGAGGAUCCAAGCGUUAUCCGGAUUUAUUGGGUUUAAAGGGUGCGUAGGCGGUUUGAUAAGUUAGAGGUGAAAUACCGGUGCUUAACACCGGAACUGCCUCUAAUACUGUUGAACUAGAGAGUAGUUGCGGUAGGCGGAAUGUAUGGUGUAGCGGUGAGAUGCUUAGAGAUCAUACAGAACACCGAUUGCGAAGGCAGCUUACCAAACUAUAUCUGACGUUGAGGCACGAAAGCGUGGGGAGCAAACAGGAUUAGAUACCCUGGUAGUCCACGCAGUAAACGAUGAUAACUCGCUGUCGGCGAUACACGGUCGGCG